Small nuclear RNA from Cavia aperea (Brazilian guinea pig), 107 nucleotides. Lineage: Eukaryota; Metazoa; Chordata; Mammalia; Rodentia; Caviidae. The record is from Ensembl.
GUGCUCACGUAGGCACCACAUAUACUAAAAUUGGAUCAAUACAGAGAAGAAUAGCAUGGGCCCUGAGCAAGGGUGACACCCAAAUUCAUGAAGCAUUCCAUAUUUUU